GGAAGAAAUAUCCUCUCGGACUUAAGAGGACGUUGGCAAAAUUCAGUGAACUAAUCCAACAGCUAAUUAGUUCUUGAAAAUGGAAAUGGAAAAGAACAUAGCCUUUUCAUCUACUUGUGUGUGCCAACAAGUAUUUUGUUCUUUCUGAGCUACUGAUGGAUAAGCGCAGUCAGAUUCCUGAAGACCCUGUGUGCAGUGGCUGUGACUCUGUCUUCCUAGAGGAAAGAGGCCCCCAUGAGGGCCAUUUGAAAGGCCCUCCCUGUGCUUGGGGAAGUAAUCAAGUGAACCGUUGGACAUUAGAUAUGGUCAUGCCAGUCGCCACUCGUUGGCCACUCUGGAAUGGUGACAUGCUAUGGUCCUACUCUGGCUCAGCACUGCUGCAGGGGGAUUGCCUCUAUCCAUUUACUAAAGCACUGGGGAACCGUGUCCUUGGUGAAUCUCCCCUGUGUAUGACCAACGGCCCUAAGCACAGGCUAAGCUUG
Molecule: long non-coding RNA, 482 nt
Filed under: Vombatus ursinus (common wombat)
Lineage: Eukaryota; Metazoa; Chordata; Mammalia; Diprotodontia; Vombatidae
Description: lncRNA (ENSVURG00010019260.1)
Source: RNAcentral